UCCUCGGUAGCUCAGCGGUAGAGCAUCCGACUGUUAAUCGGACGGUCGUAGGUUCGAAUCCUACCCGGGGAGCCA
RNAcentral lists this transfer RNA (75 nucleotides) under Sandaracinobacter neustonicus. RNAcentral's name for it is "Sandaracinobacter sp. PAMC 28131 tRNA-Asn". It matches the Rfam family "tRNA". From Rfam's summary of the family: Transfer RNA (tRNA) molecules are approximately 80 nucleotides in length. Lineage: Bacteria; Pseudomonadati; Pseudomonadota; Alphaproteobacteria; Sphingomonadales; Sphingosinicellaceae. The record is from RNAcentral. RNAcentral also lists the same sequence under 3 other names.